AGUGAACGCUGGCGGUAGGCCUAACACAUGCAAGUCGAACGGCAGCACAGUAAGAGCUUGCUCUUACGGGUGGCGAGUGGCGGACGGGUGAGGAAUACAUCGGAAUCUACUUUUUCGUGGGGGAUAACGUAGGGAAACUUACGCUAAUACCGCAUACGACCUACGGGUGAAAGCAGGGGAUCUUCGGACCUUGCGCGAUUGAAUGAGCCGAUGUCGGAUUAGCUAGUUGGCGGGGUAAAGGCCCACCAAGGCGACGAUCCGUAGCUGGUCUGAGAGGAUGAUCAGCCACACUGGAACUGAGACACGGUCCAGACUCCUACGGGAGGCAGCAGUGGGGAAUAUUGGACGAUGGGCGCAAGCCUGAUCCAGCCACACCGCGUGGGUGAAGAAGGCCUUCGGGUUGUAAAGCCCUUUUGUUGGGAAAGAAAAGCAGCAGGUUAAUACCCCGCUGUUCUGACGGUACCCAAAGAAUAAGCACCGGCUAACUUCGUG
RNAcentral lists this ribosomal RNA (492 nucleotides) under uncultured bacterium. RNAcentral describes it as "partial 16S ribosomal RNA". It matches the Rfam family "Bacterial small subunit ribosomal RNA", at positions 29 to 507 of the family's 1533-position model. The record is from RNAcentral.